GAUGAACGCUGGCGGCGUGCCUAAUACAUGCAAGUCGAGCGAACGGACGAGAAGCUUGCUUCUCUGAUGUUAGCGGCGGACGGGUGAGUAACACGUGGAUAACCUACCUAUAAGACUGGGAUAACUUCGGGAAACCGGAGCUAAUACCGGAUAAUAUUUUGAACCGCAUGGUUCAAAAGUGAAAGACGGUCUUGCUGUCACUUAUAGAUGGAUCCGCGCUGCAUUAGCUAGUUGGUAAGGUAACGGCUUACCAAGGCAACGAUGCAUAGCCGACCUGAGAGGGUGAUCGGCCACACUGGAACUUAGACACGGUCCAGACUCCUACGGGAGGCAGCAGUAGGGAAUCUUCCGCAAUGGGCGAAAGCCUGACGGAGCAACGCCGCGUGAGUGAUGAAGGUCUUCGGAUCGUAAAACUCUGUUAUUAGGGAAGAACAUAUGUGUAAGUAACUGUGCACAUCUUGACGGUACCUGAUCAGAAAGCCACGGCUAACUACGUG
RNAcentral lists this ribosomal RNA (497 nucleotides) under uncultured bacterium. Its description in RNAcentral is "partial 16S ribosomal RNA". It matches the Rfam family "Bacterial small subunit ribosomal RNA", at positions 28 to 507 of the family's 1533-position model. The record is from RNAcentral.